This 492-nucleotide ribosomal RNA is filed under the name uncultured bacterium. Its description in RNAcentral is "partial 16S ribosomal RNA". It matches the Rfam family "Bacterial small subunit ribosomal RNA", at positions 29 to 507 of the family's 1533-position model. The record is from RNAcentral.
AGUGAACGCUGGCGGUAGGCCUAACACAUGCAAGUCGAACGGCAGCACAGUAAGAGCUUGCUCUUACGGGUGGCGAGUGGCGGACGGGUGAGGAAUACAUCGGAAUCUACUUUUUCGUGGGGGAUAACGUAGGGAAACUUACGCUAAUACCGCAUACGACCUACGGGUGAAAGCAGGGGAUCUUCGGACCUUGCGCGAUUGAAUGAGCCGAUGUCGGAUUAGCUAGUUGGCGGGGUAAAGGCCCACCAAGGCGACGAUCCGUAGCUGGUCUGAGAGGAUGAUCAGCCACACUGGAACUGGGACACGGUCCAGACUCCUACGGGAGGCAGCAGUGGGGAAUAUUGGACAAUGGGCGCAAGCCUGGUCCAGCCAUACCGCGUGGGUGAAGAAGGCCUUCGGGUUGUAAAGCCCUUUUGUUGGGAAAGAAAAGCAGCAGGUUAAUACCCCGCUGUUCUGACGGUACCCAAAGAAUAAGCACCGGCUAACUUCGUG